RNAcentral lists this ribosomal RNA (810 nucleotides) under Lentamyces zychae. RNAcentral's name for it is "LSU rRNA". It matches the Rfam family "Eukaryotic large subunit ribosomal RNA", at positions 35 to 965 of the family's 3401-position model. Lineage: Eukaryota; Fungi; Mucoromycota; Mucoromycetes; Mucorales; Lentamycetaceae. The record is from RNAcentral.
UAAGCAUAUCAAUAAGCGGAGGAAAAGAAACUAACAAGGAUUCCCCUAGUAACGGCGAGUGAAGAGGGAAGAGCUCAAAGUUAAAACCUGGGUGGGUGACCACUCCGGAUUGUAAACUAUUGCUUCCGACUUUGUGAAAGCCUGGUUAAAAGUCCUUUGGAAUAAGGCAUCAUCGAGGGUGAGAGUCCCGUUCGUUGACCAGCGUGUUUUUACUAAUAUUUCGGUUGUCAAGCGAGUCAGGUUGUUUGGGAAUGCAGCCUAAAUUGGGUGGUAAAUCACAUCUAAAGCUAAAUAUUGGCGAGAGACCGAUAGCGAACAAGUACCGUGAGGGAAAGAUGAAAAGAACUUUGAAAAGAGAGUUAAACAGUACGUGAAAUUGCUGAAAGGGAAGCGUUUGCAGACAAAUUGUAGGGUGUAGUUUGUGCGGUGUGAAAAGCGGAUUUUAUUCGAAAGACACGGUGUAGACUUACCCUGCUGUUGCUGGCUGUCAACGACCCGUCUUGAAACACGGACCAAGGAGUCCACCAAACGUGCGAGUAUUUGGGUGUUAAACCCGCAUGCGCAAGGAAACUGAAUGGAUGCGAUCUCGCAAGAGUGCAGCAUAGCCCGGCGGGAAAGUUCUUAACAGCACUGACCGAGGCAAAGCACGUUUGAUGGGACCCGAAAGAUGGUGAACUAUGCCUGAGUAGGGUGAAGCCAGAGGAAACUCUGGUGGAGGCUCGUAGCGAUUCUGACGUGCAAAUCGAUCGUCAAACUUGGGUAUAGGGGCGAAAGACUAAUCGAACCAUCUAGUAGCUGGUUCCUGCCGAA